RNAcentral lists this ribosomal RNA (544 nucleotides) under Spiophanes kroyeri. Its description in RNAcentral is "partial 16S ribosomal RNA". It matches the Rfam family "Bacterial large subunit ribosomal RNA", at positions 1796 to 2619 of the family's 2925-position model. The record is from RNAcentral. Lineage: Eukaryota; Metazoa; Annelida; Polychaeta; Spionida; Spionidae.
UCGCCUGUUUAUCAAAAACAUGGCCUCUAGGAUAUAAGAUUAGAGGUUCGUCCUGCCCUAUGAACAGAUGUUUAAAUGGCCGCGGUACUCUGACCGUGUUAAGGUAGCAUAAUAAUUUGCCUUUUAAUUGGAGGCUGGAAUGAAUGGAUAGACGAGAGUAUGGCUGUCUCUUUUCUAUAAAUAAAAAUUAAUAUUCAAGUGAAGAAGCUUGAAUAGAGUAAAAAGACAAGAAGACCCUAUUGAGCUUUAUAUAUGAGAAAAUUUAAGGUGGACUAAUUAGUAGCAUUUUUAGAGGUAUAUUUAGUUGGGGCGACUUGAGAAGAUAAUAGAUCUUCUUUUUAUAUAACGAUAAUAAAUUUUAAUCCACUUAUGUGAGUAGAUAAUUAGCUACCAUAGGGAUAACAGGCUAAUCUUUUUUGAGAGUUCAUAUCGAAAGACGGGUUUGGCACCUCGAUGUUGGCUUAGGAUAACAAUUAGAUGCAGAAGUCUAAUAGAGUGGGUUUGUUCAACCCUUAAACUCCUACGUGAUCUGAGUUCAAACCGG